Molecule: ribosomal RNA, 253 nt
Filed under: uncultured bacterium
Lineage: Bacteria
Description: partial 16S ribosomal RNA
Rfam family: Bacterial small subunit ribosomal RNA
Source: RNAcentral
UACGGAGGGGGCAAGCGUUAUUCGGAAUUACUGGGCGUAAAGCGCACGUAGGCGGCUUUGUAAGUUAGAGGUGAAAGCCCAGGGCUCAACCCUGGAAUUGCCUUUAAGACUGCAUCGCUUGAACAUCGGAGAGGUAAGUGGAAUUCCGAGUGUAGAGGUGAAAUUCGUAGAUAUUCGGAAGAACACCAGUGGCGAAGGCGACUUACUGGACGAUUGUUGACGCUGAGGUGCGAAAGCGUGGGGAGCAAACAGG